RNAcentral lists this long non-coding RNA (2164 nucleotides) under Felis catus (domestic cat). RNAcentral describes it as "lncRNA (ENSFCAG00000053045.1)". The record is from RNAcentral. Lineage: Eukaryota; Metazoa; Chordata; Mammalia; Carnivora; Felidae.
AUGGGAAGCUCAGUGAAGGCAGAGAUGGCACAUAAUAGCAUUCAGCUGGUGUUCUGGAUGGAUAGAUGCGUGGGUCUGCAGAUGGAUGGAAAGAGUAAAACAGGCAUGAAUGUCACUGAGGGAUUGUCGCUGAUGUCACCUCAAGCUUCAGCCUCACUGCUGUGUUGUGAUCAUAAUAGUCUAACAGAGCCGCCAGCCCAGUGGAAAUCCAUGUGCUGCUUGUUUCUUCAAUUUCUUGUGGCUAAACCAAUGACGAUGACGGUUUCAGGAAAAGAAGAAGAUAGAAAGUCCUUCCAAGCCAUGACUGAGGUCCUUUGAGAAAGAAGUUUGAGACAAGCAGGAAGUUAUUAUCUGACAGUCUUUAGAAAUUGAGCUCCUCCUUUGAGGUCAGGGUGAUUGUCCAGUUGAUACAGAUCUACUGAGAGCUCUCUGCAUUGUUCAACCGUUAAUUUUGCUCUGGAAUCUACCAUCAUCCUUUCACCUGUUGGGCCUUUCCUGUUAAUCAUUGGGAACAGGAGGAAUAAUUAUGGACUUCUAAAAAAGGGUUAAGUGUCCAAAUCUGACAUUCACAUUAUCAAUGUAGUACAUGCAAUAGAAGAAAACUUGGAAAAGUUGACUAAGGCUACCAAAGGGGCAUAAUACGAGACUAUGCAGAGUUCUAGAAGGAGACUUUGUUCCAGAAAAGCCAAACCAGAGAGAGGUUUUGAGAUCUAUAAAAUGCAAAAGGUCACGGAAUGUAAACACGUAUUCUUCACCGUACAUGACAGAGAUAUAUGUCGAAACGUAGAGGGACCAGUUCUUGGAAAAUAACAGGAGAAGUCAUCACACAAUAUAAACAAAACCCAUCAGGUAAUGAGUCUGCCAGUGAUGAGGUUCUUGAAGGAUUUGAAUUAACUUGUAGGAGAUAGAUCUGAGAGACAAGUGAAACCAUGGAAGACGGAGUUGCCAGACAGACACACAGGCACAUCCUUCACCUAAGCCUCCUUUCUUUCUGCCCAUGUUACAAUCACAUAUCAAACUGUGUAAUUUUCCUCUUCUUAAUUUUGUUCAUUCGUUCAUAGCCCCUUGAGCAUGGGCUGCUCUGUCCGAGUGAAUCAGUGGUGAUGAUCUCAUAGGAAUGUUGUGAGGUUAACAAAUACAAAUUGUAAUGUGCACUGCAGAUAUAAAGUGCCAUAAAAAUGCUAAUGAAUGAUAAUGUGCGUCCACUGGUUAGCGGGCCAGUGCAACAGGCCAAGGAUAACAGAAAAAGAGACUGCCUUUUGAACACACAAAGUGCAAUCCUAUUCAUCUGGCCUCACGCCUGCCACCAUGGGAGGCUCUGGCUCGGGUCUCAUUAUUCACCCAAACAACUUCCUUUCCUUCUCUGUCUGGGUCUGCAAGCUGCUUUCUGAGCAAAGAAAGAUUCCCUGAAACCUUUUGGCGCCAUCAACAACAGCAGCAGCAAGAAAAGUUUGGCUUGAAAAAUUCAUUCAUGGGAAUGAAAAAAUACAAUGGAAAUCUAUCAUUAUGGAUGUUUGGGAAAGAGGGAGAAAAAAGACCUGGGCUUUGUUUUGCAUUUUGGUAAGAAAUGAUAUAUAGCUACAUAGUAAAAACAGUUUUAUUAAAAACAUCUUCUCGCCCUGUAUUCAAAAUUCGAAUCGUGCCCUCUUAUCCUGCAGUCACUUUAGAAUGAAAGUUGGAAAUGCUGAUACUGUGGAACUAGCCCUUGGUAUUCUAUCUCAUAGCUGAUAUAUUUGUCUAAUACUUUGGUUUUUGAAGGCCCAUUACUCAGGACCAGUGUGCAGGGCACUUCAUUUUAAUCCUUUCUGCUUACUGAAAACAGGAAUGCUAGGAAGAACUUGUAGAUAAGAUUACAUUCCCUCUUCUGUGUGUCCCUAGGUGGUGGGCUAUAAGCCAGAUAGCAAAGCAAAUGGAGUUGUCAUCACCCUAAGAAAAGGGUUCUGACCUCAGAUUUGUGGGACUUUUGUUUAGGGAAAUCCUGCUAAGGGUUCUAUGUUGGUUAGAACAUUCCUUCUUGUAGAGUGGAAAUUUUUAAGAGCCCAACAAGUGUGCAGAUAUUCAUAAUGGGGAGUUCAGGGGCUUUGAGAACCUUAGUUUAGCAAUAGAACAGGUGUAGAAUUUCAUUAUGUCUAUUCUGCCCGAAUAAAAGGAACCUCUUUUUCCA